CCCAUGGCCCCAAAUUUCUCACAUUUAGCAAAAACCUAAUCUUCCUCCCAACUGAUUAAUCGUCUCCGGCCUUUCCUCUCCGUCGUUGUCGUUUCACUUCUGAGUCAUUUAACAUUUUCUUUACUCUCUCUUCUUUUAUGGUUUCGUUCCAACUCCCUACGUUUCUCCUCCUAUAUAAAGUCUUUUGUAUCAACCAAAAACCUACAGCCUCACGGAAAAAGACAAAACUACUGCUGCUAAAUCCACCAGACACUCUCCCGUCUACAGCUGUGCAGCCGAGGAGGUUUCAAGCAGUGGUUCCAUGGUCGGUGCUUUAGUGGCUACCUCCGACUGGUUUACUGAUGGCAGCCAGGGUUUGCAAACAAUGACAGAGACAGAGGAAGAUGUGGAAACCUGCGGAGGAGUAGGGUUCCGAACGGAGCUCAAAGUAUUCAUAUCAGCUUCCUAAGGUAUGGAUUUUAAAGUCUGUAAUAAAUUUGAAACUUCUUGCUACGGUUCAAGGUGUUGUUGUCUACCUUAUGCAGCAGGACAACGUCAAACGUUUUCCUUCCUUUGACCAUUCUAAUUAUAGCAUAUCUUCAGGUCGAUUAAGGACUAGAUUCACUAUAUCAUUGUUUGAGAAUGAGAUCAUUAACCUAAACUUUCAGGUUUAUAAUAUGUUCAAGCUCUGAUUACUUGCAGCUCUUCUAAUUCAUUGUUUAUUCUGCUUAAAUGCAUAUGCAACAACCGGAAUCAUGUGUAUAUGUUAUGUUUUGCAUGUAUUAGCUUUCGAAAAAGACUUUGCAAGUAGAGAUGUUGAAGCUUUUGCAUCUGUUGAUAAAUUCAUCGAAACCAGUGGUGGAGAUUCUGCUGAUAACAUCAGUUGGAUUUUAUAUGGCUUUUGAUGGAGUCAAUCUUCUUGGUCAUGAUACUUAAGAAAUAUUUGAACAGCGUUGGUUAUUACUUAAUUAACUCUUUCUAUUUAUAAAUCUAAUAUACAACUCAACCUUAAUUUUUUUUUUAUGUAUAGAUUGUCUUCUAUGUGUUUAGUCCUUCGCUAUUGGAAACCGUUUAGCUGGUAGCGUAACAUAUGAAAGCUUGGUGAACAUCUGGGUUGUAUUCUCAUCACUAAGCCUUCUUCGCCUAGAUCUUCGUGGUCUCAUUGUUGGUUGAUGUGCGGCUGGGAAUCUGGGAAUAUACCAUCAAUCAUAAUCCCAACUGUUUAUAAAGACAAAGGAGAGGUCUAUUUGAAGAUCCUGAGAAUUGCCACAAAUAUGGAAUGGGUUAUGUUGCACUCUCCAUGUCCGUAAGUAGUCAUCUCACUUCUUCAAAGUUUUAUCGGUGUAUAUUUUAUUUUUGGCAUCAGCCACCAGCUAUACAUAUAUCAUACAGCUAUACAAUGAAGAAAUAAUAAUUUUCAAUUUAUAUAUUUUGUUUUCAAAAAGAAUUAUAACAAUCUUAGUUGUAACAGAUGUAGCUGAGAUUUUGUAACAUACACACAAUUCCCAAAAAUCACCAAGAACCCUUAUUGUUGCACACCUGAAAGAAUAGUUGAUCACGAGUAUGUUUCAAUGAAAAUCAUAAAUCUUCUUUCUGUAAAAAGAAAUAAAAACCCUUUGAAGACUGUUUACGAAGUUGCAGUCGAGUGCUUUGGUUUGGAGAUUUGAAUUACAGAGUUUCUUUAUCCUAUUAAGAGAUGAGUAUUUCUAGAGACAAUGAUUGUGACACACUACUUGAGAAAGACCAGGUUUUGUAGUAGAAAUUAUCUUUAAAACUCAAAUCUUUAUUGAAGACCAAGAUGAGUGUUUCUCUCGAAACUCAGAUUCUCACGCCGGAGAAGCCACUAAGUCUAAAGAAAAACUAUGUACUCAUGCUUGGUUGGUACUAUCCAAAACUCUAGAAACACGUUUUUGUGGUGUGUUUGGAAUGUUUUCAGGUUUGAUCUGAUUCCAUGAGGAGGAGAAGGAAUAGAACUUUCUUAUACUCUAGGAGAAUCACGGUUUUCAGAUCACAGACCGGUUUGUGCAAAUAUUUGCAGGAGAAGUUGUUGUGAAGAGUCUGAGAAACAUAGAUAAUGUUAUUCAUGUGCGGCUGCAAGAUUGGUUGAGGAUUGCACUCCAAACUCAUAGUUUUAACUAAGAUUAUUAUAGUUCUUUUUGAGAACAAAAUAUAUGAUUUUUAAUAGUAAUUUUUCCUCAUUGUGUGUAUGGUUAAUUUUUGGCAUCAGCCGUCAUGAUACAUAUAUGUACUUCAAUGUUAUCAGAUGAGAUCUGUUUGCAUAUGAAGUUAUUGACA
Brassica napus (rape) is the source of this 2274-nucleotide long non-coding RNA. RefSeq lists it as uncharacterized. The record is from RefSeq and is a predicted model, not a curated record. NCBI's taxonomy places the organism in Eukaryota, Viridiplantae, Streptophyta, Magnoliopsida, Brassicales, Brassicaceae. The transcript has 3 exons.